AUACGGAGGGUGCAAGCGUUACUCGGAAUCACUGGGCGUAAAGCGCGCGCAGGCGGCCAUUUAAGUUGGAUGUGAAAGCCUACGGCUCAACCGUAGAACUGCAUCCAAAACUAUUUGGCUAGAGUGUGGGAGAGGAAGAUGGAAUUAGUUGUGUAGGAGUAAAAUCCGUAGAGAUAACUAGGAAUACCAAAAGCGAAGGCAAUCUUCUGGAACAUUACAGACGCUGAGGCGCGAAAGCGUGGGGAGCAAACGGGAUUAGAAACCCUAGUAGUCC
RNAcentral lists this ribosomal RNA (274 nucleotides) under uncultured bacterium. RNAcentral's name for it is "partial 16S ribosomal RNA". It matches the Rfam family "Bacterial small subunit ribosomal RNA", at positions 523 to 796 of the family's 1533-position model. The record is from RNAcentral.